This is a non-coding RNA of Manis javanica (Malayan pangolin), 7145 nucleotides long. NCBI's taxonomy places the organism in Eukaryota, Metazoa, Chordata, Mammalia, Pholidota, Manidae. The record is from RefSeq and is a predicted model, not a curated record.
GCCCAGAUCCCUGGACUGUGACCCACAAGCCUCUUCAUCACUUAGAUACGAAGCUCGCUUCAGUCCAAGCGUCUCUGGGCUCACAGAGGCUGCAGUGCCAUGGACACAGCACAGACACUACCCUGGAGAGGGAGCAGCAUCUAGCAUGUGAGAGGCGCUGUGCUGGAGAAAAGACAUGAUUGGAGGGAGACAGAAUCCAUAUCCCAGUAGAGCUGCAGUCCUACAGUGGGAGGCCACGAUGGUCUCAGAAGACACGGAAGAGUCUCUCAGAGGCUGAAGCUGAACUUUGACAGACUGGUUUGUAUCAAAGCAAGAAGACGCCCUUGACUUGCGGCUUCAUGUAGUGGCGAGCGAUCUGCCCAGGAACCUGUCAGAAGAGGAAGAAAUAAAAACCUGUGAGUUGAAGUAAGCCCUGAUAGGUACAGUCAGUCCCCGUCACAGACACACUUUCCUGGCUCGCAGUUCAGCAAGGUGACCAAGAUACUUACACAUAAACCAGGAACUCCGAUUCUUGUCUCAAGGAUCCAGACCGGCAGUGUCCGAGUCCGGAGGGCCCGAACGUGACCCAUCCCGGACCUACUCUGCCUUCUGAAUCAUCCUCCAAAGAAGAGGAUGAGUAAGGUGAUUGGAUCUGCCACACACACAACUCUUUUUCAUGGUUUUUCAGACAGAACCCAGAAGAACUAUUUUUGUGCACUUUGAUCAGGGGCAGCAGCUGGAACCCUGCACUCCCCCCACCCCGCAGUUCCCCCUGCCCUCUGUGCCCCCAGCCGCCCUGCCCUUACGGUGGCCCUGAGGUGUAAGAGGGCUGCAACACAUUGCCAAGGAGGGUACUCGUAAGGGGAGAGUGACGGUCUACACAAGCCACACAAGAAAACACUGCUGAGAGAAGGCUGGAAAGAAUGAAUGAUUUGUUCUUUAUGCAGCUGGUAAAGAAGAAAUGACAGAAGUUCUCCACAGCCUGUCCAUGAACCGUUCCGAGCCUCGGUUUUCCCUUACAGUUACAGUUUGGCUUCAUUUUGUCAUGGGAACUGCCUCCUGGCUUGGCCUGCUCAGGCUUUCUCCGGGGAGUCCUUUGGGGAGCUCCCCCAGCUGGCCUCAGUCUGUAAUACCACCAAAGGCAGAAGCGGGCUUCGGAAGUAUUUUGCAAAGACAAAGACGAAUAUGCAAGGCAUUGCAGUCCAUGAAACCAAGAUGUGGACACUUACAAGAAGGUGACAUCGCCUCUGGAGCCAGACUCUCUGGACGUGAAUCCUGGCUUGCUAGUUCCAUGACUGCCAGAAAGUUAACUGUUCUUUCUGUUGUCCCAUUUCUCAUUUGUAAAAUGUGAAUACUGACAAAUUCUGCAAUGGGAUAUCAGGAUUAUUAAAUAAGUUAAUAUUUAAAAAUAUUUGGAACAGUGUCUAGCAUAUACUAAGUGCUUUAUAAGAAUCUGUUAAAUAAAUUUUACAGUAACAAAAAAUGGCAACUCAAAUGAUGAACACUAACUUGGAAGAUGUAGCUUGGUGUGAUUCAGAAUCUCCAACAACAAAGACAUGCCUUAAAUUUAAAUAUGAAUGCCCUCUCAUUUCCGCACAAGAAAUUAAAAUUCAAGGGAUGAAUCCUGAAACUGUUCAUAAUGGGUAUAUUCGUAUGAACCCAAACUGGAAAUAAUCCAAAUGUCCAUCAAUAGGAAAUGGCUAAGCUGUGGAAAUGGGUAAUACAGUUGAACAAUAAAGGGACUAAGGUACUGAUAAGUGCAAAACCUAGAAGAAUCUCACAAAUAUAUGUUGAGCAAAAGAGUCCCUGUUACAUGGUUUCUUUUAUAUGAGGUUAAAGAUCAACAAUACAAAUAUAUAGUGAUAUAGUUAAAAGACCGAUUUCUUGGGUUGAGGUGGGGCAGGAGGGUUGACUGGAAAGGAUGAGAUAACUUUCUAGGAAGAUGGGAAUAUUACUUUUCUUUAUUUGAGUGGUGGUAACAUGGAAUAUAUAUUUGGGUGAAAAAACCUCAUCAAAUGUAUAUCUAAGCUCUGUGCAUUUUACUCUGUAAAUUAUAUUGCAUAUGCUCAGGAACAGUCAGGGCAGAGUCCUGAACUUUCAGAACAUAUCUGUGUGACCCCCACUGUGUUCAGUCUGAUCAUCACCCAGGAAGCAGAGGCGAGGUGAUGCUCCUGUUCUGGAGAAAGCCACAUUUAGUGACCAGUCUGCCUUACCCAAGUGUGGGGAUCAGCAGGAAGGGAGCGAGGGAAAGGGAGAAUGCUUGUUCAGUUCAUUUCUGAGGAAGCUGUUCCACUGCCCAACAGUGGAAGCACAGAAGGCUCGCCCAAUACCCUGCUUGCCCAUCUACUGUUGAGUAGCUUUUGUGAUAAAAAAGCUUACCACUGAGCACCUGAAAACUGUCCAGAAAGCUGAGCACAUGGCACAGAUUAGAUGCAAGAGCCACAGUGCUCAGCUGAUUGGAGAAAAGCAGAAAACAUGACCAACAGAAAAUAAUGUUGAAGCAGGGAGGCACCACUGACAGCUCCAGGAGAGGGCGGGGCGGGCCGCAGGCCGCGCAGCCUCCCCCACCGGACACACAUGACGCACUUCUGACUGAGUCACAUGUCUGAUGCAGUGUCAGCCUCUGCAUCAAAAUCAGCCCUUAGCUUUUGCCGCUCUACUAUGGAGGACGUGGCCGCGUUCACUGCGAGGGUGGAUCUAGGCAGCGAUGUUCGCAGCCCAUCAGAACGAGCCCUGACCGUGGAUAUCUAUGUGAGUGAGCCUGAUGUCAUUUUGUAGCACGAUUUGUUUCCAAAGUUUGUGGCCUCAAAGAGCAGUGCCUUAAAAUCGCUAGUUUGAAGUUUUCCAAGUGGUGGACCAAACAGCUAGGCUCUUUGGCAAUAGCCCCAGAAUCAAUGAGAAUCUAACCAGGCUCAUCAAAGGGGGGUAUUGCCAGAACUCAGGAGUAGAAUUGAAUCCUAUCCACUGAGAGGAGAGGCCACGUCUGUUCUCAGGUCUCCCGUGUGGACCCCGAGGCUGAACAGCCGCAGCAGCCCAACGGGCACCAUCUGGUUUCAGCUCAAACUAUAUGCAGACCGGGCCCAGGCAUGUAGUUUAUUGUGAAAACAAACUGCAGCUAUAAAAACAUAUGACUCACAAACAUAGUGUUGAAGAAAUGACUUCCUACACCCCCCAAAAAUUGCUGUAUGAUUUUGUUUAUAGAAAGUUCAUUUAAGGGCAAACUUCAACCAUUGAUGCCACUUCCAGACGGCAUCCACAACGUGAACUUUAGAAGAAACUUCUCAGCAGGCACUUGAUUAAUUCGGGCACUGUGACUUUACUCUGGAAGGAAAAGCCACCCAUACAUCCUCCCUCCUCCCUCAGAGUGACAUUUCUGACACUGGUCUUUUUCAGUGAUCAGAAAUCUGCAAUGGAGACAGUUCCGGUCACUAGGCCCUAUUUGGGGUACUUCUCUUCCCGUCCAGUGAAAUAUCAUAAUUGCCGUUUCCCUUAGAGCUUCUAUUUCCAGCAAUGGGGCUUUGCAUGAGCUCUGUAUGGUGACAGGGCUUCCACGGAAUCUCGUAAGCAGACAUUUUUAGUUUUGUGCCACAGAGGCUACUGCUACCGUCUGUUCUUGUGGAAUUGCUUAGGUUUAAGCCUUUAUUAGGAGCAGUCACUCAUCUGUGGACAGAAUAGAUAGACCAUAAGCUGCAUGUACCCAUUAAAGUCAACAUCCACAGGGCCAACUUAACUAAGGUGAGAGUAAUAAAAGGUGACUGCACCAGUAAAUGUCUGAGCAAAAGCUUUGACUAACCAAGCAGGGCAGAAUUGAUGCCUCUUUUGGGCCCUAGGCACUAUGCCUUCAGAAACUUCUUAAUAUAAUGAAGUUAAAGUUCUUAAUGAAAUUUUAAAAAGUUAUUUUAAAAUAUUGAAAAUUAUACUUCCUGACUGCAUUGGUAUAAAGACAAACCCAAGCUGGAUUAUAUCUAUUUCUUUUCUUCAGAUUUUUAAAGAAAUGAAAACAUUGUCAGGGGCUCCUAAAAGCAUGUGGCUUUCGGUAUUAGGCCUUCUGUGUCCACACAGUAAGUUGGCCUGCCAGUGGGUCAACAUGCCCUGCCCUCACAGGAAAAUCGAAACUCCAACCCCAGGCCUUGAAGACUCCGUGUUGGGUUUUGUUACUUAUUUCUCAGGGAUCUUGGCCAAUGUAACAAAAUGGUGAAGUCUUGAGGGAGUCCAAUAAAUAACACCUUUUAUCCCUCCCAAAGGCAGAAGACAACAGGAAGGGAGAUGGGGGUCAAAGUACCACCUUUAUUACCAAUCAACGCGAUGUUGAAGGCUGCCGUCCAUUUGACUCUUAUAUUUACUGUAAGAAUUAGGAAAAUGUACCCACGCAUUUGCUGGCAAUCUUGGACUGAAGCCGAGCGCUCCACAAGGCAGGUAAGAACUGGCUUCCGAAGUAACAGCAGCCACUGCCUCUCCUGGUAGGAAGGCGGCUCCUGAGAUUCUUCCCAGAUUCUUCUCCCCACGCUCGACACAGAUUGGCCCCUUAGUGCAGGGGUGGGGGGGAGUGGAAAUCAUAAGGAACUGCUGAGAGAGAUCAACCAAGUUCAGAGGACGUGCUUCCCUCCAAAGCGCCCAUGUUAAAUGUCAAGAAUAUUUAGGAGCUUCCCAAGGAUUAGCAGGAUAGGAGAGGAAUUACGUUCAAUAUUAUUUUUACUUUUAAGCAUACUCUGCAGGGAGGAGAAUGAAGGAAUGAAACUAAAGCUUCACAUCACUCAAUAAACCAAUCAUACUUAUUAAAUGGUUAGGCCUACCCCUUUGAAAUAAAGGUAGUUAAAAAUAUUUGAGGCCUUUGUUUUUCAAUACACGUUAUAGAAAAACAGGCAUUGAUUCCUGGUGGAGUUUAAUAAACAAUUACAAUACAUAUGAAAGUAAGAACGAGUUUCCUUGCUCUCAAGUUCCUGUUGCCAAAUUGAGUAGGACUAAAGGUGAAAAGCAAACAAAAGAAAAGUAUUUGACAAAAUUGCCUGUUAUUGCUAUAGAAAGGUUCUGGUCUAACUUCAUCAAAUCUGUGUUAUGUCCAUUGCUCAAAAAAAUAUGCAUCAAGGGCCUUCUAUAUGUAAAUUGGGAAUACAGUGCAGCUUUGCCCUCACGGAACUACUGCCACACCUUACAGCAAAAGUGGCUCAACAGGCUCAAACACCGAAAGGAAAUUAUGCCCAGAUUUUGACCCAUAGUUUCCCAAGGACAAACAAAAGUAAAUAUUAUUUGAAGAAUGUCAAGGAGAUAAAAAGUAGCCUUUGAAUUCUCGGUACUACUAUGACUACUAAAAAAGGUAUUGUUCAGUCAUGAAUCAUAAAUAUUAUCAGUUGCCCACCUAUUUUUCUCUUUCACAUCUAUGUGUAGAUAAAAAAAUAUAUCCUUAUAAAUUGACAGCCAAGAAUUACCAUAAUCAGGUCACAAACACAGAACAGGUUUAUUUAAUAGUAGCUUAAUUGAACUUGUACUUAAUUAAUAAAUGCCAACAAUGUUUCACUUUAUAAAUUUUUUUAUAUAUAAAGUCUGGAGGCUUUUGUUUCCUCAGUUUUGUAUCAUGAUAAUCCACUUUAUCAGUUAAUUUCUUGCCCAGCCAAGGUGCAAGAUUUAGUCUUGGUGGACUGUUGGUUUGUUUCAUGAAGAAACAUCUGGUGGUUUGCUAAUCAGAUUUAUUUUAUGGGCUUUGUAUAACUGUGUAAGGUGCCCUUUUAAGUUAUUCAUCAUUAAGAUUUUCUUUAACAGGUACCCUUUCCAGUAACCACAUACCUAUAUAUCAAGCUUUGUUUUUAAUCCAUUUCUUUUGUCUUUUGCAACUUUGUCCCUGAAUAACUCAUUGGUAGGGAUAACUCAACUGUUAAUUUACUUUUGUUAUAAUUAAUGGCUACAAUAUUGUGGCUUUUCUAGUAAGAAGUUCUUAUAAUAAUUAUUAUACUUUCAAUAACCACCUUAAAGUUCCUUUGAUACAUUAGUGCUAAUAAUCGCUACAGUGUCCCUGAAAUACAUGUCAUACAACGGUACACAUGGCAACACACCCACAGUUGGUUGGUGAUUGGAAAAGAGUCUUGCCACAAAUUCUUUACAUUCAAUAAAAGGUAGAGAGGCAUCUAAAGAAAUAAUGUCACAAAGUAUCUUUUGGCCACCCAAAUGCUAAAAAUAAUUGUUUGUUACAAUACAGCUUUGAGAUAAAAUAGGGAUUCUUGGAGUCAUUGUAAAUGUAUUUCAAAAGUAGGUUUUGUUUUUUCCGUGCUGGAGUGAUUCUCAAGUAACAGUGGGUUUUCUUAAGUUCCUUAUUUGCUUCCAUACACACUGUAGCCUCAGUGACGGGUCACGCCAGGUGGCCUUGCUUGUGCCUCACAACGGCUUCUUACCAAUAACAGGGGUCACACAGAACGUGGCCUGCUCAGAAAAAAUAUAUCAUCACAAAAGCUAAAACCUGUGUUAAUUGCUGUAAACAGAUCAGAUUCCACCGACCGUUUCUUUUGGCUGUUGUCUUCUCACCCCCUGGGAAGACGAAGGCCAAUUAGGAACCCACACUGUCCUCCUCUGUCCCCUUUGGACGGGGCAGGAACGUGGGACUUGGUGGGACCCACGACAUGUGAGCUCGUUCCCUCCUUCCUGCCUCCGGAAGUAGCGAACGGAGGGAAAUCGCGCCUCCCUUGGCCUGGGAACCUGAACCAAGACAGCACAGAAUGGGCCUCCCGCUUCCCCCAGCAGGAUCUGCAGAAUGAACAGCAAGAAACCUCUGAGCUCUGAAGUCACUGAGGCUUUAAAAUUGUUAGCACAGCAUAACCGUAGCCUGUCCGGCUGCUACACACGAUUUGCUCAGUCUGGGCCAGGCGAUGGGGACGCUCCCUUAACGUGAAACGCUACAGAUUCACGUUCGUUCACCCAGAAGGAUGCUGGUUUCCCCGGACGGCACAGAAGGCCGAGGGGCCCGUGCGAGUGGGGCUAACCGCCCCGCACCCCUCGGGGCGAGGCUGUCCUCCUCCUGCGGGGCUGCCCUUGGCGCCCCUGUAAAACCCCCUGCGGCCCAGGCUCUGUUGAGGACCCAGCCUACAGCCUCACUGUGAGCACGUGGGAUUUGAUUCCUAAUUAAAUAGCAGGAGAUUGAAAGGCAUUAAUAAGCGGGGAAGAUCCUGUUAGCUGGUGGU